This 400-nucleotide RNase P RNA is filed under the name Sphingobacteriales bacterium TSM_CSM. RNAcentral's name for it is "RNase P RNA component class A". It matches the Rfam family "Bacterial RNase P class A". Rfam says of the family: Ribonuclease P (RNase P) is a ubiquitous endoribonuclease, found in archaea, bacteria and eukarya as well as chloroplasts and mitochondria. RNAcentral also lists the same sequence under 1 other name. Lineage: Bacteria; Pseudomonadati; Bacteroidota; Sphingobacteriia; Sphingobacteriales. The record is from RNAcentral.
GCUACAAGCCGUUCUAUCGCCUGCGGUUAUCAACCGCAGGAGGAAAGUCCGGGCAACACAGAGCGCCACACCACCUAACAGGUGGGGCCAUAAGGGGCAACUCCUAUGGUACAGAAAGUGUCACAGAGAAUUACCAAACCUGUACAGUUUACGGGAAGGGGUGAAAAUGCAGGCAGACCCUGCAGUUUUAUGCGGUAACGCAUAAAAAGGACAAACCUUGUGGGUUGAAAGACCAAAUAUACCGGCUUUUUUUUGACAAAUGUCAAAAAAUAAAAGUUGCUCGCUUAAUGCCGGGGGGUGGGUCGUUAGAUUCUGUCAGUAAUGGCAGAACCAGAUAAAUGAUAGAACGUUUUUCUGCAAAGAAAGGCGACAGAAUCCGGCUUACAGGCUUGUAGCUUUU